AUUGAACGCUGGCGGCAUGCUUUACACAUGCAAGUCGAACGGUAACAGGCCGCAAGGUGCUGACGAGUGGCGAACGGGUGAGUAAUGCAUCGGAACGUGCCCAGUCGUGGGGGAUAACUACUCGAAAGAGUAGCUAAUACCGCAUACGAUCGAUGGAUGAAAGCGGGGGACCGUAAGGCCUCGCGCGAUUGGAGCGGCCGAUGUCAGAUUAGGUAGUUGGUGGGGUAAAGGCUCACCAAGCCAACGAUCUGUAGCUGGUCUGAGAGGACGACCAGCCACACUGGGACUGAGACACGGCCCAGACUCCUGCGGGAGGCCGCAGUGGGGAAUUUUGGACAAUGGGCGCAAGCCUGAUCCAGCAAUGCCGCGUGCAGGAAGACGGCCUUCGGGUUGUAAACUGCUUUUGUACGGAACGAAACGGCUCUGGUUAAUACCCGGGGUUAAUGACGGUACCGGAAGAAUAAGCACCGGCUAACUACGUG
Molecule: ribosomal RNA, 482 nt
Filed under: uncultured bacterium
Lineage: Bacteria
Description: partial 16S ribosomal RNA
Rfam family: Bacterial small subunit ribosomal RNA
Source: RNAcentral